RNAcentral lists this ribosomal RNA (253 nucleotides) under uncultured bacterium. Its description in RNAcentral is "partial 16S ribosomal RNA". It matches the Rfam family "Bacterial small subunit ribosomal RNA", at positions 524 to 776 of the family's 1533-position model. The record is from RNAcentral.
UACGGAGGGUGCAAGCGUUGUUCGGAAUCACUGGGCGUAAAGGGCGUGUAGGCGGCCUGUUAAGUCUGAUGUGAAAUCCCCUCGCUCAACGAGGGAACUGCGUCGGAAACUGGCAGGCUCGAGUACCGGAGAGGAAGGUGGAAUUCCCGGUGUAGCGGUGAAAUGCGUAGAUAUUGGGAAGAACACCAGUGGCGAAGGCGGCUAUCUGGACCGUAACUGACGCUGAGGCGCGAAAGCGUGGGGAGCAAACAGG